ACGCCAUCGUUGUCAGCUGUGUUGUUACUGUUACUUGUUAGUGUAGGAGUAGAGAAUAACUUUUAGUAUUACUGAUAGUAGUACUAGACUACUACUAGUAGCAUCUAAACAAGUAAUUUUACUGUUAAUACUGCCCACUGAUGACGAUAGGUACUUUUUUGUGAUCCUGAAAGUAAAUCAACAGCUCAUGACUUCUUAUUGGAGCCUCCAUCAUCUUGAUGCAAUCUACCAACCUUAUCGAUGGAAGACUCCCUAUCUUCAGCUUUCCCUCGUCUCUCACUUUUUAUGCUGAUGAUCAAUCAUCUCACAAGCAAAUUCUCACACUCUACAAUCCAUAUGAUUUCCCUUUAAAAUUUCAAGUUUUAUGCACUUCACCAAAGAAAUUUGUUGUAGUGGACCCAGAGGGAACAAUAAGACCACACUAUUGCAUAGACAUUGUAAUUCGUCACAAUAAUAUCACUCAGAGCAACUAUGGUGUCACUGAAAAGUUCCGGAUUCAGGUGUAUGAACAUGGACAAUGCCAAAUUCUUGGAAAAAAAGACAUCCCAGCAACACUGCUUUUGUCUAAACCAGUCACUAGUGUUUCUUCCAGUACAGAUUCAGAGCAAUUUGAAUGGCUUUCCAAGCAGUCUGUACCAAAGGCUCAUAAAAGGCAGUAUGCUAUGAACGAAGCACAAGAAAGAAGUAAUGCUAGGCCAAAUGUGAUUGUGAUUUUAGCUGCUGUUCUGUGUAUAAUGGCAUUAAUGUUGCCAACCCAAGGAGAUCCAGAGGGACACCUUCCAAUCUAUUUUCAUCUCAGUAUGCACCAGAAACUGAUAGCUGCCUACACGUUAGGACUUGUAACCAUGGUAAUCUUCCGAACUUGAUAGAUAUUUGGGCAUAGCACUCUUUAGGUAGAAUGACCCAGUGAAUGUUUACGCACAGUAAUCAAAGCCACACUGGACUGUCUACUGUGUCUUCCGCAGGGAAUCGAACUCUGAAUGUUAGCGUUGUAAGUCCGUAGAUUUACUGCUCUCCCAUCGAGGGACAGGAUAUGAAUGAAAUCAGUUUUAUUGUGAAACACAAGAACAAAACAAGUGGAACUUAACAGCGAAUUCUACGGUUUUUAAGAUGAACAAAACGCUCAUAUGAAACAAUUUCAUAAACUAUAUAUAACCCACUAUUCAAAAUCUUUAGAGACUUGAAUUUGUAUUUUUUGUCCUUAACAAAGUUAUAGUUCGUCAGAAACUGUACUCAGUAUUUAUUGUAGCAUCUCUUGAAACAAAAUUUUCUGAACUUUGUAUAGAUUAGCAAAAAAUGAUAAAAUUUAAUUGCCAUUCGUAACAUUCCGUUUCCUUUACUUAGAAAGUAUAAAGAAAUUACAGAAUUAAUAAAAAUAAUGAAAGUCAUCUAAAUUUACUUAUUUAUUAUCGUAAUACGUGCUCAAAACGACGUUCACCAUUUAGUUUCUGUAAUGUGUGAUAUAAAUAUAUACAGCUUUCUUUAAUUGUUUUUAACAAUUACAUUGUGAUAUAUAUAUAUAUAUAUUGAUUUAGUGCUACACGCCCCCAGUGUCUGAACGGUAAGUCUGAGGGCUAGUAACGCUAGAAAUCUGGUUUUGAUACUUGUGAUGCACAGAACAAAGGUUGUGUAGUUUUUGACAAACAACAGAUUUUACACAUAUUAAUUAUGUACCUAAUGCUGCAUUGUGUAACUGCCUACCUGAAAUCCUCCGGUAGGUCAAUGGUAAGUUUGAGUUAAAAUCCCGCGUUCGAUUCCCUGUGAUUGUCAGUACAUAUACCUAUUGUCUACCUGGAUUCAAAUAUUUGAAACUUCGUUAAUUGACAUAAUGAUACUUAUGUUUUACCUUUAAAUUAUAAUUGAAUGCUGUAAAAUAAUUUGAUUAACAUUCGUGAUAUUUAAUUUACAUCAACGUCGUUUCUUAGAUACGCAUUUUAAUAUACUAAAAAAUAACAAAAUUAAAACAUAUGGUUUCUAACGAAUUUUUUUUCUGAUCUAUUGAAGCUGAUCAAAGACUGAAGAAUAUACUGCAAGAUGAAUGUAUGGGCUUAGGAACUUAGAAAAUAUACACAAUGACGUUUUGUUGUUGUUU
This is an RNA transcript of Limulus polyphemus (Atlantic horseshoe crab), 2092 nucleotides long. It is a transcript of the gene named motile sperm domain-containing protein 1-like, with no coding region annotated. The transcript is spliced from 7 exons. The record is from RefSeq and is a predicted model, not a curated record. NCBI's taxonomy places the organism in Eukaryota, Metazoa, Arthropoda, Merostomata, Xiphosura, Limulidae.